This 372-nucleotide ribosomal RNA is filed under the name uncultured Desulfobulbus sp. RNAcentral's name for it is "bacterial SSU rRNA". It matches the Rfam family "Bacterial small subunit ribosomal RNA", at positions 1014 to 1382 of the family's 1533-position model. Lineage: Bacteria; Pseudomonadati; Thermodesulfobacteriota; Desulfobulbia; Desulfobulbales; Desulfobulbaceae. The record is from RNAcentral.
CUUCCAUCUGGAAGAAUACUGGAGACAGGUGCUGCAUGGCUGUCGUCAGCUCGUGUCGUGAGAUGUUGGGUUAAGUCCCGCAACGAGCGCAACCCUUGCCUUUAGUUGCCAGCAGUUCGGCUGGGCACUCUAAAGGGACUGCCGGUGUUAAACCGGAGGAAGGUGGGGAUGACGUCAAGUCCUCAUGGCCUUUAUGACCAGGGCUACACACGUACUACAAUGGCCGAUACAAAGGGCAGCGACACUGCGAGGUGAAGCCAAUCCCGUAAAAUCGGUCUCAGUCCGGAUUGGAGUCUGCAACUCGACUCCAUGAAGUUGGAAUCGCUAGUAAUCGUGGAUCAGCAUGCCACGGUGAAUACGUUCCCGGGCCUU